UACGUAGGGUGCAAGCGUUGCCCGGAUUUAUUGGGCGUAAAGAGCGUGUAGGCGGCCAGGCAGGUCCGUUGUGAAAACUCGAGGCUCAACCUCGAGACGUCGAUGGAAACCGUCUGGCUAGAGUCCGGAAGAGGAGAGUGGAAUUCCUGGUGUAGCGGUGAAAUGCGCAGAUAUCAGGAAGAACACCUAUGGCGAAGGCAGCUCUCUGGGACGGUACUGACGCUGAGACGCGAAAGCGUGGGGAGCAAACAGG
RNAcentral lists this ribosomal RNA (253 nucleotides) under uncultured bacterium. Its description in RNAcentral is "partial 16S ribosomal RNA". It matches the Rfam family "Bacterial small subunit ribosomal RNA", at positions 524 to 776 of the family's 1533-position model. The record is from RNAcentral.